Molecule: long non-coding RNA, 483 nt
Filed under: Homo sapiens (human)
Lineage: Eukaryota; Metazoa; Chordata; Mammalia; Primates; Hominidae
Description: BEAN1 antisense RNA 1 (BEAN1-AS1)
Source: RNAcentral
AUACGUGGUGAAGCAUGGAGUUGUAAUUUAUGCACUCUGUAUAACCCCAAAGACUGCUCUUCCCACUCCCCUAAACUCUUUUUCCCACUCUUCAUAUAAUAGUGAGUGGAAGAAUCUGGAUAUGAAACUCUAUCUGCAGGGCACCAGCUGAGAGACAGAAUUUUUGGAAGAACUUAGGAAAGAAACUAAGAAAAGACAACAGCACACAGCAACAAGCAGUCAUCCGGGCCUCUCAUGUCACCGAGAACAUUAUGGUGGGCGCCUGUGAGCUCUUCCUGACCACCCAAGACUUCUAGGAUGCUUUCCCGACCACCCUGCUCCACCCAGGGCAGAGUUGCCAACUCCUUGAUGCCUCCUGUGUUGCAAUCCCAGUCAGAUGAGGUCCCAGGGCCCCAGGGUGGGCGGCGGCUCACCGUAGCCGUGCUCGUACUCUCGGUGUCGACGCCGGCGGUGGUGAUGAUGGUGGUGGUGGUGGCGGUGGUG